Long non-coding RNA from Falco peregrinus (peregrine falcon), 1342 nucleotides. RefSeq lists it as uncharacterized. The transcript has 4 exons. The record is from RefSeq and is a predicted model, not a curated record. Lineage: Eukaryota; Metazoa; Chordata; Aves; Falconiformes; Falconidae.
GAUUUACGUUUUUCUGCUUGUGAAGUCUUCGGUGAUUGACGAAUGCAAAGAGGAUGUUGUACUUAGAGCUGGGAACUUCACGUAUUACUAUAAGGAUAUAUCUUCACCGUGCCUGGAAAAAGGGGCAAGCUUUGAAACAGCCUUUGCCAUCUCUGAAAAAAGGAAUAAAUUAAAUAUUGACAAAAAUUAGCAAAAUCAUCAGAAAUCUGAGACAGCAUCUACUCUAAGAAGACACACCUUUAUGAAGCCCGAACUGAGAUAAACAGUAAUGAUAUCAGCAAUAAGAUGAAAGCUUCUCCUGAAAGACUUGGAGAAAUAAAAUCGGCUGGCCAUGAGGCCUGAAGAAAUGGCACCGUCACACUGAAAUUGGCCAUGCUCUGUCCUGACUUGUAUUUCGCUGAAGAUUUGACUAAAUGUCUUCAGCAGGUGAUUUUUAUAAACUGUCACAGGAGACCAGCAUCUUGAAGCUUGCUUAAAUUUUACAGAACAGUUUGGGCAACAUAAAUACAGAUAAGCAGUAUACGUGUAUGGAUGUACCAACAUGAAUUCCAGUGGCGGUCAAUGGGGCGAGCUACAUUAAGAAAAGGUCAGAGAGUAAUGAUAACAGUUCUUCCGUCUCCUCAUUCGGUAUGUUCUUGAUCAACUGAAACUUGUGGUUAAAAUGACAGAAAGACAUGUACCAUACUUUCGCAGGUCAAGUUUCUAGUAAUUGAAAUUGAGUCAAGUUUCUAGAUGUAAUUGAAACAAUGGUAGUUUCUUUCAUGGAAAAAGUAUGAGUUCCCCUCUGUUACAGGUAAGCAGCUUCUUCUGUGUCUGGGUUCUGGUUAUGUUUGUUCUUGGCUAGAAAGAUUUUUUUUCUAUAUGUUAGAAGGGAUUACCUCUCUUUUAUUUCAUAGGUAUUUAUUGUCUGUCUGUCAAUGUCAUCUUCAGGAAAGUAACAAUUACUUAUUUGUCACAAAUUCUAAUUGUAAAAUGCAAUGAUCGUAGGCAGAUUAUGACAGCUAAACAGGGAAAAGUAUACAACUUGGAGGAAAUAAGAUUUUGAAAUGAGAAACUAGUUUUCUGUUGUGAGGAAAUCAGUCUGUAUUUAAUGUAAGAAUUUCUCAGAACUUGAUCUCCCCUGUUCUAUGGCGUAGAAGGAAAGUGCUCUGAAUUUUUCAGUCUACUUUUAUUUUUUAUAUUUCUGAAUAAUAAAAAAAAAAAAAUCUGUGACUGUAAGCCACUGUCCCACACCACUAUGCUGGGAUGUUGUGGUGUUGUUGUUUUGUUUGGGGUUUUCUUUGUUUGUUUUUUAAAUAAUAUAAAAUGCAUUAUGUUCUUCUGUGUUUUGUUAUGAAUAAUC